This 235-nucleotide unclassified non-coding RNA is filed under the name fungal sp. RNAcentral's name for it is "partial internal transcribed spacer region". The stretch from base 1 to 46 matches the Rfam family "Eukaryotic small subunit ribosomal RNA", at positions 1786 to 1831 of the family's 1831-position model. Lineage: Eukaryota; Fungi. The record is from RNAcentral.
AAGUCGUAACAAGGUUUCCGUAGGUGAACCUGCGGAAGGAUCAUUAAAAGGCAUAGUUGAGUCGAUGAAUUUAUUCAUUCGACUCGACAUCCUGAUCAUUCCCUAUGUGCACUUUAUAUAAUGCUUUGGUAGGUCUUUAGACCUACCAAAAGUUUUAUCUAUAGCCUUAAUUUUUUGUCUGAAGAAAUAAAAUAUAAUAUAAAUACAACUUUCAACAACGGAUCUCUUGGCUCUC